AUUGAACGCUGGCGGCAAGCCUAACACAUGCAAGUCGAACGAGUGGCGGACGGGUGAGUAAUGUCUGGGAAACUGCCUGAUGGAGGGGGAUAACUACUGGAAACGGUAGCUACUACCGCAUACCAUCGGAUGUGCCCAGAUGGGAUUAGCUAGUAGGUGGGGUAAAGGCUCACCUAGGCGACGAUCCCUAGCUGGUCUGAGAGGAUGACCAGCCAAACUGGAAAGGAGACACGGUCCAGAGUCCUACGGGAGGCAGCAGUGGGGAAUAUUGCACAAUGGGCGCAAGCCUGAUGCAGCCAUGCCGCGUGUAUGAAGAAGGCCUUCGGGUUGUAAAGUACUUUCAGCGAGGAGGCGUUACCCGCAGAAGAAGCACCGGCUAACUCCGUGCCAGCAGCAGCGGUAAUUC
This 406-nucleotide ribosomal RNA is filed under the name uncultured bacterium. RNAcentral describes it as "partial 16S ribosomal RNA". It matches the Rfam family "Bacterial small subunit ribosomal RNA", at positions 30 to 526 of the family's 1533-position model. The record is from RNAcentral.